This 370-nucleotide ribosomal RNA is filed under the name uncultured organism. RNAcentral describes it as "bacterial SSU rRNA". It matches the Rfam family "Bacterial small subunit ribosomal RNA", at positions 526 to 896 of the family's 1533-position model. The record is from RNAcentral.
CGAAGGGGGCUAGCGUUGCUCGGAAUCACUGGGCGUAAAGGGUGCGUAGGCGGGUCUUUAAGUCAGGGGUGAAAUCCUGGAGCUCAACUCCAGAACUGCCUUUGAUACUGAAGAUCUUGAGUUCGGGAGAGGUGAGUGGAACUGCGAGUGUAGAGGUGAAAUUCGUAGAUAUUCGCAAGAACACCAGUGGCGAAGGCGGCUCACUGGCCCGAUACUGACGCUGAGGCACGAAAGCGUGGGGAGCAAACAGGAUUAGACACCCUGGUAGUCCACGCCGUAAACGAUGAAUGCCAGCCGUUAGUGGGUUUACUCACUAGUGGCGCAGCUAACGCUUUAAGCAUUCCGCCUGGGGAGUACGGUCGCAAGAUUA